UACGUAGGGUGCGAGCGUUGUCCGGAAUUAUUGGGCGUAAAGGGCUCGUAGGCGGUCUGUUGCGUCAGGAGUGAAAACUCGGGGCUUAACCCCGAGCCUGCUUCUGAUACGGGCAGACUAGAGGUAUGCAGGGGAGAACGGAAUUCCUGGUGUAGCGGUGAAAUGCGCAGAUAUCAGGAGGAACACCAAUGGCGAAGGCAGAUCUCUGGGCCGUAACUGACGCUGAGGAGCGAAAGCGUGGGGAGCGAACAGG
This 253-nucleotide ribosomal RNA is filed under the name uncultured bacterium. RNAcentral's name for it is "partial 16S ribosomal RNA". It matches the Rfam family "Bacterial small subunit ribosomal RNA", at positions 524 to 776 of the family's 1533-position model. The record is from RNAcentral.